This is a long non-coding RNA of Ruditapes philippinarum (Manila clam), 1833 nucleotides long. RefSeq lists it as uncharacterized. The record is from RefSeq and is a predicted model, not a curated record. The transcript is spliced from 6 exons. Lineage: Eukaryota; Metazoa; Mollusca; Bivalvia; Venerida; Veneridae.
UAUUUUUUGCCUAAGAGUUAUCAAAUUGAAACAUCAUAUGUAUCAUGGAGGGUAUUGUAGUUCACAAUAACAGUUAAAAAAUUAUAAGGUAGAAGACCCAUAAUGAAAUCGGCAAUCUUCGACAAUUACCGCCAUAUCUCGCCAUUUAUCGUAACGAACUUCGUUUGUUUACGUAUAAAGUCGGAAUUCUAAUAAUAGCGAAUAUCCCCGGUCACGUGGUAGUAUUCCCCAAGAAAAUGACGUAAUUUCCGCAGAUAUCUAACAUGGCGUCUUACAGCGUGAUACGCUCGGUCGAUUCAAAAAAAGUGUAAAAAGAUGCAGAAAACUCAAGUAUUCCGACUUUAUUAUAGAACAUAACUAUAGUGCAGGUAACCAGUAUUACGUGUCAACCAAACCAGCUCUACAAGACAUCAACUCUUCCUAAAUCGGUUGAUAAUGAGGGUUGGAAAGAGGGAAGAAGAAUCGUUGAGUUUGGCGUGUUACGGUCAAACCUAAGAUUUUGUAAAAAAUGUAGACUUGGACCAGUUGGCUACCAUUAACAGCACUGAUUAACUUUUGACAACAUGUUAGGUGAAUUUAAACAGGGAGUGUCUGGUUAUUUGUAUGUGAAAUGUCGAAACACAGAAUGCGGUCAUGUGAAUUGUGUUCCCUAUGGAAAAACACACAGACUCUAGUAGAUUGAAGACCUGUGAAAGUUGGAAUGCCAUGGUUCGUUGUCAACACAAAAUUAGGAACAGCAAUGAUUGAUAGUGUAGGUGGGCCGGUGAGGGUCAACAAUUUGUUGUCAACACUAAAUAUACCAACAAUUGGAAAUAAAAACAUGAAAAGAAAUGGAGAGACGUGUUGGAAAUAUCAUUGAGACAGCACUGGCUUCUAUGCCGACAUAAUCUGCUGCAUAAGAUCAAGGAAAUGGAGGAUGUGCAUCAUGAAGAACCAAUGGUAUCAGAACACAACAUCAUGGAAGAUCUUAUUGACAAGAUCUCGGAGGAUGUCCUUUGCCAGAUGUUUGCCAGCACUAAAGUCUAUUCAUCAGUCAAAUGCUACAGUUACAAAUGACAGUGAAUGGUCAGAUUUAUACAAUUGUGAUUAACAAUCCUCAACAAUACAUCAAACAAAAAUGCCUAUUAAACUUUCUCACAGACAGUCAAAGGUUGAAAACAAAUCAGAAGUGGUCCACAUCUUAAAAAACCUCACAGCAGAUUAAGACUUUCCCCGAAAUUUCCCUGUAAAACCCGCAGUGGUAUGUCCAGUGCAGUAGAUACUGCCUGGCACAAAAGAGGAUUUGACAGUUUAACAUUGUACUGCACCAAUAAACUAAAUAUGGAGAGAAGCUUAGUCACCAAAGCAGUCAACACCAAAAUACACACAAUGGCCAGGGCACUGAAACUUGGAAGAGUGAAAGAGUAAAGUAGUGCGUUUUUAGCUAACAAAGUGACAUUGCGAGCUUUUGUCUAUCUUUCGUCCGUAAACUUGAUCUUUAAACAACAUCUCAUAAAUUGCCAAGCCAAUUUCAUGCAAACUUACGAUAUUGUCUAGUCUGUUUUUGUUUUGCUUGCAAUCGUUAUAUGACAUGACUAAAGACAUUUUGUUUUAUUCUUAAGUUAUUAUGUUUAUGUUUGUAUAAGACCCAAAUAUAUUGUUAAGAUUCAUUUUUACAAAUUUGAAAGCCAUUAUUGUUCUAGUCAGUUUUUGUUUUGCUUGCAAUCAUUAUAUUACAUGGCUAAAGACAAUUAGUUUUAAUCUUUAAUAGUUAUGUCUAUAUUUGUAUAAGACCCAAAAAUAUUGUUAAGAUUCAUUUUUACAAUUUUGAAAGCCAUUAUUGCUCUAGUUUGU